UCUACUAUCUCGACACACUUAUUGUGGAAUAGAAGUAUAAUUUGAUGGACUGGGACAUCACCCUGAUUUUCUAAUUGCCCGUAUUAAAACUCUCAUAUUUUCAUGUCCAGUGAUGAUCAGAAGCUGCUCGAUAAAAUGCCCCUUUGGUUUCAAGUUUCUUUAUUGUCAUUGAUUGCUGUUGACGAAAUGAUAUUUGAGAAACAUAACCUAUGGUAAUAUUUUCAUUCAGCUCCAGACAUUUGAUACCCACCAUCUAAUUUUAAAUUUUAUUCUUGACGAUUAUUGUAAUGAACUACUCCCUUUGAUCCCUUUUAAUUGACUUGGAUUUAGUACAACUUCUUUUUAAUUGACUCAGAUUUAGUGGGAUCAGACGGAGUAGAAAAUUCAUAAUUAAAAAGUAUAUAGAGUCUGUAUGUAGAAUGUUAUCUCCACUUAUACAUGAACCUUCCUGGCUUAGAGUCGGGAAACUUUUAUAUGAUCUAACCCAUGGUUUGAUGACUAUAAUUUGAGAAAUUUCAUUUGGCAUUGCAUAAUGUUCAUUGCUACUAAAGCAACUAAAUUUAACAUUUAAAAUUGCAGAGAAGAAAUUAUUUCAUUUAUAUCUAUGUACUACGGAUAGUCUAGGUGGAGCAUAUUUUCUAUUCACAAAUAAGAAUAGUGAAGUAAGCCUUUGUCACGACUUAAGUUAGUACCAUCAACUAGAGUGCUGGUGAUGGACAAACCAAGUACAAAACUGGGUUUGUGAUGAUUGCCAUCUUUGUUUAUUUUGGUACUUCUCGUAGGAACUUGUCAACAGAGUUUUCUUGUAAUUAUCUUUCUCUUAUUUCAGGUGGAGUAACUAACGUACAUGUGAGUACUGAUGGACAGGGAGAACAAUUCUUGCUAAGAAUUACCAACACUAUGGUGCUUUGGUGUUGGCUCUUAUGAUGAUUGGCGGAGGAAUCAAGUCUGUUUUUGGUUUCAUCGUAGACAUUCUUAUUCUGGCAUUCUGGAUUAGUUAUUAUGAAGUUCUCAAUGUUUUUGCCAUGAGGUGGCCAUAUGAUGUUGUUGCAAACGACUAGUUGUUGUUUGUGUCUCACUAAUGUAAACGUAAUUUUCAGUAA
Long non-coding RNA from Lolium perenne, 1103 nucleotides. RefSeq lists it as uncharacterized. The record is from RefSeq and is a predicted model, not a curated record. Lineage: Eukaryota; Viridiplantae; Streptophyta; Magnoliopsida; Poales; Poaceae.